Molecule: ribosomal RNA, 305 nt
Filed under: uncultured Lactobacillus sp.
Lineage: Bacteria; Bacillati; Bacillota; Bacilli; Lactobacillales; Lactobacillaceae
Description: bacterial SSU rRNA
Rfam family: Bacterial small subunit ribosomal RNA
Source: RNAcentral
UAGGGAAUCUUCCGCAAUGGACGCAAGUCUGAUGGAGCAACGCCGCGUGAGUGAAGAAGGUUUUCGGAUCGUAAAGCUCUGUUGUUGGUGAAGAAGGAUAGAGGUAGUAACUGGCCUUUAUUUGACGGUAAUCAACCAGAAAGUCACGGCUAACUACGUGCCAGCAGCCGCGGUAAUACGUAGGUGGCAAGCGUUGUCCGGAUUUAUUGGGCGUAAAGCGAGCGCAGGCGGAAAAUAGUCUAAUGUGAAAGCCCUCGGCUUAACCGAGGAACUGCAUCGGAAACUGUUUUUCUUGAGUGCAGAAG